This is a long non-coding RNA of Clupea harengus (Atlantic herring), 1648 nucleotides long. The record is from Ensembl. Lineage: Eukaryota; Metazoa; Chordata; Actinopteri; Clupeiformes; Clupeidae.
UGUAUCUCUCUCUGGUUCUGUGUCUGUAUGUAUGGGCGUGUGUGUGAGUGUGUUUUAGGUGCGUCAGGUGAAACUGGGCAAAGUCCAAGGAGGGGCAUGUUCUGGUGUCUCUGACCUACAACGGCAAGAGAGGGGAGCCUCAGGUGGGGGUCAUCCUCUGUGCCAACCUGGUCGCCGUGGAUGCCAACAUCUUCUCUGACCCCUGACCCCUUCGUCAAAAUGAGCUGUCUAAAGAAGCCAGACGGAUUAAGGACGCCGCCACUUGCAGGACAAGUCUGCGCCUAUGAGGGAGGACCUUGUGCGGCAGAAUGCUCUGGCUAUGGUCCGGAGCUGGCGGAGGUGCUAUGAGACUACAUCCUGCAGUUUGGAAAGUAUAAAGUUUUGCAGAGAUCCAGUCUCUCUUCUCAACUAGGGCCGGUGGAGUGGGUGUUGUGGCAGCCUCAUCAGAAGACGAGCAGCUGGUUGGCUUUGGCUCUCAGGCCAAGAUAUUGGAUAACAGAGUUGAUGGCUACGCAGACUUCGCCAUGGGGAGGAUACUUGAUGUCUUGGUCAAGAUUCACAGAGUGGUGUUCUUACCAGGGAAAAUUAGUGUUGUGUUCUGCAAGGGACCACUCGGAUUUCUCCUCCAAGAGCCGUCUGAAGAAGCCAGGCAGAUUAAGGACGACAUCACUCUGCAGAAGGAGUCUACUCCUAUGAUACAACUGCUCAACUGCAGGCAUCAUCAGUUGAUGCUCCAGCCUAACCAGGUGUGAAAAGUUUAGCAGUGCACCAGCAGAGAGCAGAUGGCCACUGAAUUGUUCCAGGCCCAGGGCAUGACCGGGGGGGCACGAUGGAACUACCAACGGCUGGUGGACCUCAAGCAGCCAGGCGUCAUACUCCCUGCUUUGCUUGAUCCAGGUUUAAUAGUGGAGUUGAACUCUGCCUCCAAGAGAGUGACUGGGCAAGACAAGUACCCUGCACUCCACCUCUCUGACACAGACACCGGAGAGGGGUUUGGACUGGAGUACCAAGAACCAGGAUGCCGUCCAGUCCCUCUGGAUUGGGGCAAACACAGAACACAAAAGAGAGAUGAACCUGCUGCUCUUAUGCCUCCGUCCCGUGUGCAGGCACCCGGUCCAGCCCAAGCCCCAGGAGUGACACCCCCCUCCAGCUGGACGCCACUCUCUGGCACACCAUCCCCUGGACCAGCACCAUCCUCCAGCUGGACACCGCUCUCUGGCACACCAUCCCCUGGACCAGCACCAUCCGUUGGCUAUCCGCUCUCUGCUGGUGCACUGCUAAAGCAGGAGAUGCCAACAGACGACCACCAGGAACCUCCUGCAGCAGUGGAACUCUCAUAUGCCCUACCCCAGCGGUCCUUGCUGAGGAGUGCCCACACUGGACCCAUUAAGUAAGGUGGACAGGUUUUUGUGUAAGACCACACACGCUGGACGCCACCCAUGAAAAAUGCUGUUGACGGCUUGAUGCAGAAAUACCAUGGGGAGAAGGACAUGCUGAAGCUUGUGGAUCAAGAUUAUGCAGACAUGGUCCAUCGGUCUGCCACCAAUCCCAACAGUUUACUGCACCCCACAACCAGGCUACACAUAUCCCGCUAUGUGAAGCACCUGGCAAAACUCCUUAACAUAAUUUCUUCUUUGAACACGAGCCA